ACCAGGUAGCAUUCCUCACCGACGUCGAUCGGAGCGAUGCAAUCCGUAAGGAAUCCGCCACAACCGAUACGAACGUCGUUCGCACGUAGCGUCGAACGCUUUGUUCCGAGGGGCAAAUGGAGGCCGAGGCCUCGUGCCCACAACACGUUCCGCAUCCGAGAUUCCGAGCAUUGCGCCUCGGGUGGGCUACACGACACGAGUCCCAACCACAACGCAUGCUAUGAGUUCCAAUCCGCACCACGACACCGGAGGGCGACGCAGAGCGGAAUGGAAGGGGGCAGAUUUUGCCGACGUAAUGCCUUAAGGAUAGGUAUCGAGCACAGGAGGCCGCAAUCGAACAGGGCUCGGUGGCCCUUGUGCCGAUGAUUGAAGUGGCGCGGUUGGGAUGUCG
This 391-nucleotide unclassified non-coding RNA is filed under the name Prostanthera porcata. RNAcentral describes it as "partial external transcribed spacer". The record is from RNAcentral. Lineage: Eukaryota; Viridiplantae; Streptophyta; Magnoliopsida; Lamiales; Lamiaceae.